This 497-nucleotide ribosomal RNA is filed under the name uncultured bacterium. RNAcentral describes it as "partial 16S ribosomal RNA". It matches the Rfam family "Bacterial small subunit ribosomal RNA", at positions 28 to 507 of the family's 1533-position model. The record is from RNAcentral.
GAUGAACGCUGGCGGCGUGCCUAAUACAUGCAAGUCGAGCGAACGGACGAGAAGCUUGCUUCUCUGAUGUUAGCGGCGGACGGGUGAGUAACACGUGGAUAACCUACCUAUAAGACUGGGAUAACUUCGGGAAACCGGAGCUAAUACCGGAUGAUAUUUUGAACCGCAUGGUUCAAAAGUGAAAGACGGUCUUUCUGGCAGUUAUAGCUGGAUCCGCGCUGCAUUAGCUAGUUGGUAAGGUAACGGCUUACCAAGGCAACGAUGCAUAGCCGACCUGAGAGGGUGAUCGGCCACACUGGAACUGAGACACGGUCCAGACUCCUACGGGAGGCAGCAGUAGGGAAUCUUCCGCAAUGGGCGAAAGCCUGACGGAGCAACGCCGCGUGAGUGAUGAAGGUCUUCGGAUCGUAAAACUCUGUUAUUAGGGAAGAACAUAUGUGUAAGUAACUGUGCACAUCUUGACGGUACCUAAUCAGAAAGCCACGGCUAACUACGUG